UGAAAGCUAUAUUGCGCUGCAGGAGAGCUUUGCGUCCUAUUAGCUAGUUGGUGAGGUAACGGCUCACCAAGGCGAUGAUAGUUAGCCGGCCUGAGAGGGUGAACGGCCACAAGGGGACUGAGACACGGCCCUUACUCCUACGGGAGGCAGCAGUGGGGAAUAUUGGACAAUGGACCAAAAGUCUGAUCCAGCAAUUCUGUGUGCACGAUGAAGUUUUUCGGAAUGUAAAGCGCUUUCAGUUGGGACGAAGUAAGUGACGGUACCAACAGAAGAAGCGACGGCUAAAUACGUGCCAGCAGCCGCGGUAAUACGUAUGUCGCAAGCGUUAUCCGGAUUUAUUGGGCGUAAAGCGCGUCUAGGCGGUUUGGUAAGUCUGAUGUGAAAAUGCGGGGCUCAACUCCGUAUUGCGUUGGAAACUGCCAAACUAGAGUACUGGAGAGGUGGGCGGAACUACAAGUGUAGAGGUGAAAUUCGUAGAUAUUUGUAGGAAUGCCGAUGGGGAAGCCAGCCCACUGGACAGAUACUGACGCUAAAGCGCGAAAGCGUGGGUAGCAAACAGGAUUAGAUACCCUGGUAGUCCACGCCGUAAACGAUGAUUACUAGGUGUUGGGGGUCGAACCUCAGCGCCCAAGCUAACGCGAUAAGUAAUCCGCCUGGGGAGUACGUACGCAAGUAUGAAACUCAAAGGAAUUGACGGGGACCCGCACAAGCGGUGGAGCAUGUGGUUUAAUUCGACGCAACGCGAGGAACCUUACCAGCGUUUGACAUCCUAAGAAAUUAGCAGAGAUGCUUUUGUGCCCCUUCGGGGGAACUUAUUGACACGU
RNAcentral lists this ribosomal RNA (824 nucleotides) under uncultured bacterium. RNAcentral describes it as "bacterial SSU rRNA". It matches the Rfam family "Bacterial small subunit ribosomal RNA", at positions 201 to 1039 of the family's 1533-position model. The record is from RNAcentral.